RNAcentral lists this ribosomal RNA (371 nucleotides) under uncultured organism. Its description in RNAcentral is "bacterial SSU rRNA". It matches the Rfam family "Bacterial small subunit ribosomal RNA", at positions 526 to 896 of the family's 1533-position model. The record is from RNAcentral.
CAGAGGGUGCAAGCGUUAAUCGGAAUUACUGGGCGUAAAGCGUGCGUAGACGGUUAUGUAAGUCAGGUGUGAAAGCCCCGGGCUCAACCUGGGAAUUGCAUUUGAGACUGCAUAGCUAGGGUGCGGAAGAGGGAAGCGGAAUUUCCGGUGUAGCGGUGAAAUGCGUAGAUAUCGGAAGGAACACCAGUGGCGAAAGCGGCUUCCUGGUCCAGCACCGACGUUCAGGCACGAAAGCGUGGGGAGCAAACAGGAUUAGAUACCCUGGUAGUCCACGCCAUAAACGAUGAGAACUAGACGUUGAGAGGGUAAGCCUCCCAGUGUCGAAGCUAACGCGAUAAGUUCUCCGCCUGGGGAGUACGGCCGCAAGGUUG